Molecule: ribosomal RNA, 467 nt
Filed under: uncultured bacterium
Lineage: Bacteria
Description: bacterial SSU rRNA
Rfam family: Bacterial small subunit ribosomal RNA
Source: RNAcentral
AGAGUUUGAUCCUGGCUCAGGAUGAACGCUGGCGGCGUGCCUAAUACAUGCAAGUCGAGCGGCAGCACGGUCUUCGGACUGGUGGCGAGCGGCGGACGGCUGAGUAACGCGUAGGAAUAUACCCCAAAGUGAGGGAUAACUGCCCGAAAGGGUGGCUAAUACCGCAUGUGGUCUUCGGACUAAAGCCUUCGGGCGCUUUGGGAAUAGCCUGCGUAAGAUUAGCUAGUUGGUGAGGUAAUGGCUCACCAAGGCGACGAUCUUUAGCUGGUCUGAGAGGAUGACCAGCCAGACUGGAACUGAGACACGGUCCAGACUCCUACGGGAGGUAGCAGUAGGGAAUUUUCCACAAUGGGCGAAAGCCUGAUGGAGCAACGCCGCGUGCAGGAUGAAGGCCCUCGGGUCGUAAACUGCUUUUAUGUGCGAAGAAUAUGACGGUAACACAUGAAUAAGGGUCGGCUAACUACGUG